UAUUGGGUUUGGGGUUAGGCUUUGUCUAGGUUAGGAAUUUAGGGUUAAUUGGGCUUGAUUUUUUGGGUUGUGUAAAUAGACUGGACAUUGGUUUUGUAUUUUGGGUUUUAUUUAUUUAGUUGUGCCCGAGCAAAUUGGGCUGUUUACAGUUUAAAUUUUCAUUAUUUUUUAAUAGAAUAAAAUUAAUUUUAAGUAUGAAUUGGUUUAAUUUAUU
RNAcentral lists this long non-coding RNA (214 nucleotides) under Gossypium raimondii (Peruvian cotton). RNAcentral's name for it is "long non-coding RNA (GRAI_LNC002465)". The record is from RNAcentral. Lineage: Eukaryota; Viridiplantae; Streptophyta; Magnoliopsida; Malvales; Malvaceae.